MicroRNA precursor from Oryza sativa Japonica Group (Japanese rice), 203 nucleotides. It matches the Rfam family "MIR812 microRNA precursor family". The record is from Rfam. NCBI's taxonomy places the organism in Eukaryota, Viridiplantae, Streptophyta, Magnoliopsida, Poales, Poaceae.
AAAAAGACAAACUAUUAUGUCUGUGUUCAACGUUUGACCGUCGGUCUUAUUGAAAAAAUUAUGAAAAAAUUAAAAAGAUAAGUCACGCAUAAAAUAUUAAUCAUGUUUUAUCAUCUAACAACAAUGAAAAUACUAAUUAUAAAAAAAAUUCAUAUAAAACGGACAGUCAAAUGUUGGCAUGGAAACCCACAGUUUGUCUUUUU